RNAcentral lists this ribosomal RNA (497 nucleotides) under uncultured bacterium. RNAcentral's name for it is "partial 16S ribosomal RNA". It matches the Rfam family "Bacterial small subunit ribosomal RNA", at positions 28 to 507 of the family's 1533-position model. The record is from RNAcentral.
GAUGAACGCUGGCGGCGUGCCUAAUACAUGCAAGUCGAGCGAACGGACGAGAAGCUUGCUUCUCUGAUGUUAGCGGCGGACGGGUGAGUAACACGUGGAUAACCUACCUAUAAGACUGGGAUAACUUCGGGAAACCGGAGCUAAUACCGGAUAAUAUUUUGAACCGCAUGGUUCAAAAGUGAAAGACGGUCCUGCUGUCACUUAUAGAUGGAUCCGCGCUGCAUUAGCUAGUUGGUAAGGUAACGGCUUACCAAGGCAACGAUGCAUAGCCGACCUGAGAGGGCGAUCGGCCACACUGGAACUGAGACACGGUCCAGACUCCUACGGGAGGCAGCAGUAGGGAAUCUUCCGCAAUGGGCGAAAGCCUGACGGAGCAACGCCGCGUGAGUGAUGAAGGUCUUCGGAUCGUAAAACUCUGUUAUUAGGGAAGAACAUAUGUGUAAGUAACUGUGCACAUCUUGACGGUACCUAAUCAGAAAGCCACGGCUAACUACGUG